Molecule: long non-coding RNA, 281 nt
Filed under: Paramuricea clavata
Lineage: Eukaryota; Metazoa; Cnidaria; Anthozoa; Malacalcyonacea; Plexauridae
Source: RNAcentral
CGACAAUUCCUUUCCUCCUAACCACCCUCUACACAAGAUAUUUAAUCGAAACACUUUGAAAUUAAGCUACAGCUGCAUGCCUAACAUUCAUGGUAUUGUCUCUGGUCAUAACAAGACAAUACUCAACAAACAAGACAAAACUAAAAACAACUAAGAAUCAAACGACUGAAAAGAGUAGUGAGUGCAAUUGCCGUAAGAAAGAUUCCUGUCCUCUCUCCAGUAAAUGCUUAACAAGCAGCAUUGUUUACCAAGCAACUGUGACUAGAAACGAUACAAAAGAG